GUUUUUGUAGGCAAGCAGCUACAACCUAUGCAGCAGACUGAGGGAAAUAGUGCAGGUGUACAAAAUUACUGAAGGAACCUUUUUUCUAGAGGAAAGUCAAGCCUUUUUCCUCUUCAUUUUGUAAGGUAGGAUAUAUCCGCUGACUGGCCGUGAUAAACGGUGGGAGUGGGACUAGUCCAUCAUAAGCUUCUCCACUAGAUUCGAGAUUUGACUCCGUUAUGGAAGACGGUGUGCUAGUUCUUCCUUUGAUUUAGAUUCUGAUACAUGAAGGCUUCCUUCUCUCUGACUCAGAAAACUAACUGCCAAUUGUACAUUAUCUUACAUACAGAAACAUCCUUGAGGAUGCAGACCUUAGUG
This 357-nucleotide unclassified non-coding RNA is filed under the name Hevea brasiliensis (rubber tree). The record is from RNAcentral. Lineage: Eukaryota; Viridiplantae; Streptophyta; Magnoliopsida; Malpighiales; Euphorbiaceae.